AGUACGGUGGCCGAGUGGUUAAGGCGUUGGACUUAAGUUCCAAUGGACGUAAUGUCCGCAUGGGUUCGAACCCCAUCCGUACUA
Strongylocentrotus purpuratus (purple sea urchin) is the source of this 84-nucleotide non-coding RNA. NCBI's taxonomy places the organism in Eukaryota, Metazoa, Echinodermata, Echinoidea, Camarodonta, Strongylocentrotidae. The record is from Rfam.